This 240-nucleotide long non-coding RNA is filed under the name Solanum tuberosum (potato). RNAcentral's name for it is "long non-coding RNA (STUB_LNC008943)". The record is from RNAcentral. Lineage: Eukaryota; Viridiplantae; Streptophyta; Magnoliopsida; Solanales; Solanaceae.
AAAAAAUUAAUAUACUAUACAACCUUCUUAUAAGGUCCUCCGAAAUUCCUCGGGCUUCAUCACGUCUGGAAAACAAUAUUAAAGGAAUGGCAGGAAGUAAGCUCAUGCAACAUUCAAUUAAGUGGUCCUCUAACCAGUUCCCAUGACUUCUCUGCACAUGUCCAGCCAGACCCCCUUAUUUUAUGAUACACAAAACAGUCCCUAAGCAUCACAAUGUAGAAGUAACAAUAUGAACUCACG